Molecule: long non-coding RNA, 1657 nt
Filed under: Homo sapiens (human)
Lineage: Eukaryota; Metazoa; Chordata; Mammalia; Primates; Hominidae
Description: LHRI_LNC675.1
Source: RNAcentral
ACUAUACUAAAGAUGCAUAGGCUUCACAGCAAAGAUCAGCAUAGCUUUAUCUCAGUAUCUCCCAAUGACCCCUGGCCUGGUCACGCCAUCAGCACUCCCGGUUCCUUUUCCUUUCUCUGCAUGAAGUGUUUCAUCUCCAUUGGCUAGCCAGAUCCUCCUGGUUCUUCCCCUCUGUAAAAUGGGGCAAGUCUACCACGCCUCCAUACCCACUCUGUCUGGAGCAUGCGGGAGACCAGGCCCCAGAGGCGUGAGCUCCUGGGAAGAAGGCUGUGUGGAAGGGGACAGGUACAGGAGCUGUGCCACUGGAACUCUACGGAGGUAUAGUGUCUGGAAGCUCAGGUACGGGGCGGCGAGACACACACAAAGCUGCAGUGUGAGUUUCCCUGCAGGAUAUCUCGGCCUAGCUGUGGCCAGGGCCUGGUACCAAUGACCUCUCAGGGCUUUGGAUGCACCAGGUCAAACCAGCCAACCACCUGCCUCCAAUCAGGAAUGCACGCCCCAUCCCAGGCAGAGAGACAAGGGAGUUCCACAAUUUCUUCCUUGAUGAAUGAUUCCUAUCUACCACAAUUUUCAUUCAAUGCAUCAAAUCAACCAAUGAUGAUUUAAAAACAGCACUACAAAAACUCCGCAAAGCGGGUGGGAAUUUCCUGCUUGGGUCCAGCCUCCGUGUUUCCCGCGCACAGCCCGGUCUUUACCCUGGAUGCUUCCGAACCGGCAUCAUCUGGCAUCUCCGACAGUCUUGAUGCGACUUAACGCAUGGUAAGAACCCAUCAGAGAAGGUGAAAGGGAUUUCCAGAGACAGGUAGAGGCACUGCGCUGGGCAGCACCAGGGAGGAAUAUUAUCUUUUCAAGCAGCUGGACUCUGACCUAGAAGCCGGAACUCCUGAGUACUGAGGUCAGCACCUCUCUCACACACCCCCAGCUAUAAGCUUGAAGGAAACCCCUCCCCUUCUCUGGGCCUUGAUUUCCCCUCCUGCUCAGUGGGGACGUUCUUGGUCCUCCUUCUUGCCCACUCUACCCAGUCGCCGAGUCUGGCGAAGCAGAGCUGUCUGGGGGUCACCGCAGCAGGAGGGACCGAGCUUAGAUACGAAAAAAGACUUCUACACGGCAAGAGCCACAGAAAGGACGCUCCAGCUGGCUCAGCAGAGGGGCAUCUCUCCCUUUCAAGAACAAAAGGUGGCAGGUACCCGGGGGCCCUGGGGCAGAACGAGGUAAAUUCUGCACGGACUUCCACAUCUAAGACCCCAGAAAUCUCCAGCCGGCUCCCUCCGACCGUGAGUGCGUAAAACCCGGGAGCAGCAGGAGGGGAGGGCGGGGGUGCAGCUGGCCCCCCUGGGGUGUCCCCUCAGUCCCUGCGCCCCCGACCCUCGCCGGGCCAGCCUGGGGAAAGCCUUUCCGCCUCCGUGCGCUGCCCCGACUCCUCCGUGGGGAGGGAACGUGGAGUCGGGAUCUCGGCGGCGUGGGCGGGCCGGCUGGUAGCCGGCAGGCGAGAAGGAAUCUCCCGGCCCACGCGCGCCUCCCAGCGUCCAGCCUCGCACUUCCUCGCGGGGGCGGCGGCGAGGACCUGCACCCCGGCGCGGGGAAGCCGCGUGCCCACAGCCUCCCCGCGCCCCCGCCGCGCCCCGCCCCGCUGAGGAAGGCGGCUGCUGAGUCACCC